RNAcentral lists this ribosomal RNA (663 nucleotides) under uncultured bacterium. RNAcentral describes it as "bacterial SSU rRNA". It matches the Rfam family "Bacterial small subunit ribosomal RNA", at positions 106 to 788 of the family's 1533-position model. The record is from RNAcentral.
GUGAGUAACACGUGGGCAACCUGCCCGGAAGUCUGGGAUAACAGUGCGAAAGUGCUGCUAAUACCGGAUACCUUCACGGAACCGCAUGGUUCUGUGCAGAAAGUUUUUCGCUUCCGGAUGGGCCCGCGUCCCAUUAGCUAGUUGGUGAGGUAACGGCUCACCAAGGCGACGAUGGGUAGCUGGUCUGAGAGGACGAUCAGCCACACUGGAACUGAGACACGGUCCAGACUCCUACGGGAGGCAACAGUGGGGAAUCUUGCGCAAUGGGCGAAAGCCUGACGCAGCAACGCCGCGUGAACGAUGAAGGCCUUCGGGUCGUAAAGUUCUGUCAAGGGGGACGAUAAUGACGGUACCCCUGGAGGAAGCCCCGGCUAACUACGUGCCAGCAGCCGCGGUAAUACGUAGGGGGCGAGCGUUGUCCGGAAUUAUUGGGCGUAAAGGGCGUGUAGGCGGCCGAUCAAGUCAGGUGUGAAAUUCCAGGGCCCAACCCUGGACGUGCACUUGAAACUGGUUGGCUUGAGUGCAGAAGAGGAAAGUGGAAUUCCCAGUGUAGCGGUGAAAUGCGUAGAUAUUGGGAGGAACACCAGUGGCGAAGGCGACUUUCUGGUCUGUAACUGACGCUGAGGCGCGAAAGCUAGGGGAGCAAACAGGAUUAGAUACCCU